RNAcentral lists this ribosomal RNA (433 nucleotides) under uncultured bacterium. RNAcentral describes it as "partial 16S ribosomal RNA". It matches the Rfam family "Bacterial small subunit ribosomal RNA", at positions 29 to 507 of the family's 1533-position model. The record is from RNAcentral.
AACGAACGCUGGCGGCAGGCUUAACACAUGCAAGUCGAGCGGGCCCUUCGGGGUCAGCGGCAGACGGGUGAGUAACACGUGGGAACGUACCUUUUGGUUCGGAACAACUCCGGGAAACUGGAGCUAAUACCGGAUAAGCCCUUAGGGGGAAAGAUUUAUCGCCAAAAGAUCGGCCCGCGUCUGAUUCGCUGGUUGGUGGGGUAACGGCCCACCAAGGCGACGAUCAGUAGCUGGUCUGAGAGGAUGAUCAGCCACACUGGGACUGAGACACGGCCCAGACUCCUACGGGAGGCAGGAGUGGGGAAUAUUGGACAAUGGGCGCAAGCCUGAUCCAGCCAUGCCGCGUGAGUGAUGAAGGCCUUAGGGUUGUAAAGCUCUUUUGUCCGGGAAGAUAAUGACGGUACCGGAAGAAUAAGCCCCGGCUAACUUCGUG